AGCGAACGCUGGCGGCAGGCUUAACACAUGCAAGUCGAGCGGGCGUAGCAAUACGUCAGCGGCAGACGGGUGAGUAACGCGUGGGAACAUACCUUUUGGUUCGGAACAACACAGGGAAACUUGUGCUAAUACCGGAUAAGCCCUUACGGGAAAGAUUUAUCGCCGAAAGAUUGGCCCGCGUCUGAUUAGCUAGUUGGUGAGGUAACGGCUCACCAGGGCGACGAUCAGUAGCUGGUCUGAGAGGAUGAUCAGCCACAUUGGGACUGAGACACGGCCCAAACUCCUACGGGAGGCAGCAGUGGGGAAUAUUGGACAAUGGGCGCAAGCCUGAUCCAGCCAUGCCGCGUGAGUGAUGAAGGCCCUAGGGUUGUAAAGCUCUUUUGUGCGGGAAGAUAAUGACGGUACCGCAAGAAUAA
Molecule: ribosomal RNA, 416 nt
Filed under: uncultured bacterium
Lineage: Bacteria
Description: bacterial SSU rRNA
Rfam family: Bacterial small subunit ribosomal RNA
Source: RNAcentral